RNA transcript from Magnolia sinica, 1182 nucleotides. It is a transcript of the gene named frataxin, mitochondrial, with no coding region annotated. The transcript is spliced from 8 exons. The record is from RefSeq and is a predicted model, not a curated record. NCBI's taxonomy places the organism in Eukaryota, Viridiplantae, Streptophyta, Magnoliopsida, Magnoliales, Magnoliaceae.
CUGCUUCCCCUUCUCUCCCAUUUUGCUCAGCUUCUCUCUCGAACCAACCCCAUCGCUCUCUGCACGGGAAGUAUACAGGCGCCACUCCAUACCAACGGACACGGCCUUGCGGCCAUUGCAACAUCAGGCCUUAAACAGUUUCUAUUUCUCUCUAGCUUUCAUGUUGAUGGUUUGAGAAGGAGAGUGUAUUGGUCGAGUUGAGGAUGAUGCUUCCUGAUUGCUGCAAGCCCCUGGAAGCUUCGCUUGCUGACUUGAAAAGAAUGUUGGCCGAAAAGCUCACCUGCGAACAAAGAAAAAAGUCAAAAUUACCCAUCUUUCAAUUUCCAUUUCCCUGGAUAACCAUUUUUAUCUUCUUCUCUCUGCAUGAUCAUUUCUCAGUUUCCAUUUUUCUGUAUUUUGUGAGAAAAUGGCUGCAAGGCUAUUAAUGGCGAGAAUGAGAAAAUGCCUUGUAUCCCUCCCCUUAUUUAAACCUCCUCCCUCUGGCUAUCUUUUCUCUUCCUCUCCAUGCCUUGACUCUUGCAAAGCUUCCAGUCUUGAACAUGAAAAAGUUUCUCUUUUCUCUCCUCUGGAAGCUUCCAGAGCUACUGGAUCGAAUUUCCGGGCUUUCUGCUCUCGGCCUCUGAACCUCGACGAUGCACAGGGCCCCGCUGCAAUUGAUUAUAGGUCUAUUCUUCCUGAGGAUGAGUUUCACAGGUUGGCUGACGAGACGAUACAUGACCUGCAAGAAAAAAUUGAGGAAUAUGGUGAUUGCGUCCAACUGGAUGGCUUUGAUAUAGAUUAUGGGAAUGAAGUUUUAACAUUGAAGCUUGGGAGCUUGGGCACCUAUGUUUUAAACAAGCAAACACCAAAUAGGCAGAUUUGGUUGUCUUCCCCAGUAAGAAUGAAGUUUUAACAUUGAAGCUUGGGAGCUUGGGCACCUAUGUUUUAAACAAGCAAACACCAAAUAGGCAGAUUUGGUUGUCUUCCCCAGUAAGCGGACCAUCUCGUUUUGAUUGGGACGGGAUGAGGCAAGCUUGGGUUUAUAGGCGGACCAAAGAAAACUUGCAGCAAAUAUUAGAAACUGAGAUAGAACAACUGUGUGGUAAACCCAUUAAUCUUUCCUGAGUUCUCUAAAUAACAUCUGUUCUGCAACGUGAAUCGAGUACUCUUUCAAUGAAUAUACAUUAGAAAUCUUGAAAGGUA